GACGAACGCUGGCGGCGUGCUUAACACAUGCAAGUCGAACGGAAAGGCCCUGCUUUUGUGGGGUGCUCGAGUGGCGAACGGGUGAGUAACACGUGAGUAACCUGCCCUUGACUUUGGGAUAACUUCAGGAAACUGGGGCUAAUACCGGAUAGGAGCUCCUGCUCCUUGGGGGGGGUUGGAAAGUUUCGGCGGUUGGGGAUGGACUCGCGGCUUAUCAGCUUGUUGGUGGGGUAGUGGCUUACCAAGGCUUUGACGGGUAGCCGGCCUGAGAGGGUGACCGGCCACAUUGGGACUGAGAUACGGCCCAGACUCCUACGGGAGGCAGCAGUGGGGAAUAUUGCACAAUGGGCGGAAGCCUGAUGCAGCAACGCCGCGUGCGGGAUGACGGCCUUCGGGUUGUAAACCGCUUUCGCCUGUGACGAAGCGUGAGUGACGGUAAUGGGUAAAGAAGCACCGGCUAACUACGUG
RNAcentral lists this ribosomal RNA (468 nucleotides) under uncultured bacterium. Its description in RNAcentral is "partial 16S ribosomal RNA". It matches the Rfam family "Bacterial small subunit ribosomal RNA", at positions 28 to 507 of the family's 1533-position model. The record is from RNAcentral.